RNAcentral lists this small RNA (77 nucleotides) under Xanthomonas sp. 3793. RNAcentral's name for it is "sRNA sX9". It matches the Rfam family "Xanthomonas sRNA sX9". RNAcentral also lists the same sequence under 1 other name. Lineage: Bacteria; Pseudomonadati; Pseudomonadota; Gammaproteobacteria; Lysobacterales; Lysobacteraceae. The record is from RNAcentral.
AUGUUCCACUCGUACACUUCGGCUCUGAGUACGCAGUCCAAGCCCGCCUGGCGGCUGCUCGCCAGGUUUUGUCGGCC